GUUUAAGGGUGGGCGGUUGCUGCUGACAUAGUCAAUUGCUGUGAAGGGAGAGGAAAGUCCGGGCUCCACGAAGAGAGGAUGCCAGUUAACGGCUGGCGGGGGUAUCUCCCCUAGGGAAAGUGCCACAGAAAAGAUACCGCCAAUACCCGCGGGCAUUGGUAAGGGUGAAAUGGUGAGGCAAAAGCUCACCGCACUUUGGGCAAUCAAAGUGGCAGGGCAAACCCCAUCCGGAGCAAGAUCGAAUAGGAACACUUAGGGAAAAUCCCUCUGCGGCUCUUCGCGCGGAAAAUGUUCGGGUUGAUUGCUUGAGGCUUACGGUAACGGAAGCCCUAGAGGAAUAACCGCCGCUGCAUACGCAGUACAGAACCCGGCUUAUAGCCCUUAAACUAAG
Molecule: RNase P RNA, 391 nt
Filed under: Holosporales bacterium
Lineage: Bacteria; Pseudomonadati; Pseudomonadota; Alphaproteobacteria; Holosporales
Description: RNase P RNA component class A
Rfam family: Bacterial RNase P class A
About the family: Ribonuclease P (RNase P) is a ubiquitous endoribonuclease, found in archaea, bacteria and eukarya as well as chloroplasts and mitochondria. Its best characterised activity is the generation of mature 5'-ends of tRNAs by cleaving the 5'-leader elements of precursor-tRNAs. Cellular RNase Ps are ribonucleoproteins.
Source: RNAcentral